This 85-nucleotide transfer RNA is filed under the name Felis catus (domestic cat). It matches the Rfam family "tRNA". Rfam says of the family: Transfer RNA (tRNA) molecules are approximately 80 nucleotides in length. Their secondary structure includes four short double-helical elements and three loops (D, anti-codon, and T loops). Lineage: Eukaryota; Metazoa; Chordata; Mammalia; Carnivora; Felidae. The record is from Rfam by way of RNAcentral.
GCCUAGGUGGCUCAGUCGGUUAAGCAUCUGACUUCGGCUCAGCUCAUGAUCUCACAGUUCGUGGGUUUGAGCCCCACAUCAGGCU